UUUGUUUGGUCAUUAGAAUAU
Molecule: non-coding RNA, 21 nt
Organism: Caenorhabditis elegans
Lineage: Eukaryota; Metazoa; Nematoda; Chromadorea; Rhabditida; Rhabditidae
Source: Ensembl